GACGUAGGGGGCCAGCGUUGCUCGGAAUUACUGGGUGUAAAGGGUUCGUAGGCGGUGUGGCAAGUCGGGAGUGAAAUCUCUGGGCUCAACUCAGGGGCUGCUUCCGAAACUGCCGUGCUAGAGUGUGAGAGAGGCGAGUGGAAUUACGGGUGUAGCGGUGAAAUGCGUAGAUAUCCGUAGGAACAUCCGAGGCGAAGGCGG
This 201-nucleotide ribosomal RNA is filed under the name uncultured prokaryote. RNAcentral describes it as "partial 16S ribosomal RNA". It matches the Rfam family "Bacterial small subunit ribosomal RNA", at positions 524 to 724 of the family's 1533-position model. The record is from RNAcentral.